Molecule: ribosomal RNA, 235 nt
Filed under: uncultured Actinomycetales bacterium
Lineage: Bacteria; Bacillati; Actinomycetota; Actinomycetes; Actinomycetales
Description: partial 16S ribosomal RNA
Rfam family: Bacterial small subunit ribosomal RNA
Source: RNAcentral
UGGCGAACGGGUGAGUAACACGUGGGUGAUCUGCCCUGCACUUUGGGAUAAGCCUUGGAAACUGGGUCUAAUACCAGAUAGGACCAUGCUUUGGAUGGUGUGGUGGAAAGUUUUUUCGGUGUGGGAUGAGCUUGCGGCCUAUCAGCUUGUUGGUGGGGUAAUGGCCUACCAAGGCGUCGACGGGUAGCCGGCCCGAGAGGGUGUACGGCCACAUUGGGACUGAGAUACGGCCCAG